AGCAAAGGGCUUGACGCUAGCGAUUUACAAUCACGGCUAGUGACAAAACCUUUGUGGG
This 58-nucleotide microRNA precursor is filed under the name Euprymna scolopes. Its description in RNAcentral is "Esc-Mir-12545_pre stem-loop". Lineage: Eukaryota; Metazoa; Mollusca; Cephalopoda; Sepiida; Sepiolidae. The record is from RNAcentral.